Molecule: long non-coding RNA, 1952 nt
Organism: Oxyura jamaicensis (ruddy duck)
Lineage: Eukaryota; Metazoa; Chordata; Aves; Anseriformes; Anatidae
Exons: 6
Source: RefSeq, a predicted model, not a curated record
CUGUAGUCAGGCCCAUUUCAGGCUGUGGAUGCUAUGGAUACAGACCUACAGACUGAUUUCCUGGCUUGGACUUGGGCCUGUCUUGUCACCAUGGACCUCUCUAGUGAUCCCUGGGCUGUGCCUGACCUAAUUACCCUGGUUUCAUCGUGACUCUGACUGGUGCUCGCUGUCUUAUCACCGUGAGGUGAGCUCUUGGAUGACUCUGGCUGUCACUCUGGGACUGCCCUGCUCAUCUUGCUCAGUGUGCCUGGCUCUUGCGCUCUGAAGAGGAUGCUCCGCUCCGCUCUGCAGCAAUGCAUCCAGGAGGACAGCAGUUAAGAUGUGGGCCUUAUUUUCCUGCCCAAAUCCCGCGGGGGAAGAAGCAAUCACAUGCUAUUCGUUGCUUCAAGACUAUUGAAGAAACCACUGCUAUUGAACUGGCAGGGGAUCUUUCCUUCUGUGACCUUUGCCAGAGCAUCUGAUUGGUGUGCCCCAGCUGCAGGCCCUCAUUUUCUUGGGAAAGUUUUAAGAUAGUCUGAAAAGCAACCCUCUUCUUUCCUAGCCCUUCCUGACUUGUAUGGGCUCUUCCUGGCCUUUCCAACUGCAGUGUGAAGGGGAUUGUUUGUUUUCUUUUUAAAUGUUAUCCUGCCUUCCUCCUCUUUUUUUAACAAAACUGUACGUGAAGACUCGCUAUGAAUUGAGCAUGGCACAUGGAUGGAGUGGCUGCUUUGAACUACUUUUGCAACAAUGGAUUCUGCUUGACUGAUAAUGAAACCAUGGGAUAGACCUCAGGGAGAGGUCCUGAAGCUGGUUUCUGGAUUUAAGGUUCCUCAUUCUCAGCAGCUGUCUCCAGUAUCUGUGGAAAUGGGAGAAAGUUGCAUCAAGAUGUGUAUGCUCGCAAAGGCUUGUAUGCUGCCCUUUUCCUGACUUGGUCCUGUGGGUUUUUUGAUGCUUUUGAAGUGCUUCCAGAUCAUACCUAAAGCUCAACCCAGAGUCGAGCACCUUGUUAGUGACUCUCCUGAAGGCCGAGGUGUGGUCCAGAGUGUAAAGGCUUACGUCGGGGAGCUGCGGGGGGACUCUGGCUUCUGCUCCUGGCUCUGCUGCUGCUUCAGCUGAAUGCUCUUGGCAGGCGCGAACUCGGAGCUGGACUUUAGCGCAGCAGGAGCGGGGAAAGUCUCCGGGAAAAGCUUUUUGUCCGAAGGCGCACGGGCUGCCGGCACCCUGCAAAGGCGAGCAAGGCUUUGCAGAGCGGCUCCUACCACCCGGCAAACUUCUUGGAAAGAAAAAGAAAAGGAAAAAAAAAAAAAAAAGAAUAUAUAAAAGAAAUGAAAAGAAAGAAAGGAAAAGAAAUAAAUGAAAAGAAGGAAAGGAAAGAGAAAGAAAGGGAAAAGAAAGAAUGAAAAAAGGGGGAAAAAAAAAGAAAAGCACACACUUUUUUUACACCUCGCCCCGAACUUUUAUUUCCAGCAUGUCCGCCGCCGCUCAAGGCCGGGGCGAUGUGUCCCCCCCGCCCACCCCUGCCCGAUGCUCCCGGCCGGGCUCCGUUCGAGGCUGCCGGGACCCCCCCAGCCCCCCCCGCACCCCGGGCCCCCUGCACCAAGCGGGCCGCUGCGGCUAUUUCCGCACGGACAGAUGCUCAGGAGGGCAUUUUAAAGGCGGGUGCGCUAUCUACCCCCUUUUUCCUUAUUAUUUAUUUUUUUAACCCUCCCCCCAAAGUGCUCAGCCCCUCGUCCCGCUCCCCCCCCGGGCAGCCCGCAGCGGGUUUAGCGCAGCCCCGGCUGCACUUUUUGCAGCGCCCAGUAGACGGCACACUCAAUCCUUCAAAUGCAAAGCAGCCGAGCGGAUUUAUUUAUUUGAUUUGAUUUUUUAAUUAAGCAGCCAGAGUUUCACCCAACGUUUCGGUGCCUUUGUUUUUUUUUUUUUUUUUUUUUUUUAAUUAUUUAUUAUUAUUAUUCAACGAGUGGCGCGGAGAG